Molecule: small nucleolar RNA, 127 nt
Filed under: Macaca fascicularis (crab-eating macaque)
Lineage: Eukaryota; Metazoa; Chordata; Mammalia; Primates; Cercopithecidae
Also listed under: 1 other name
Description: Small nucleolar RNA SNORA72 (ENSMFAG00000035125.2)
Rfam family: Small nucleolar RNA SNORA72
About the family: U72 is a member of the H/ACA class of snoRNAs. The snoRNA gene is located in intron 4 of the ribosomal L30 protein gene in human, mouse and chicken.
Source: Rfam by way of RNAcentral
CUGUAUAUAUUUUUUAAUUUUUAAUUUUAAUUUUUGUGGGUACAACAUUCGCUAUAUUGAGAUCAUGCAUGUGUCCUCAAACCUAGUUCUUUUCCUAAGUCUAGUUUUAUAAAUGCUAAUGAUGAAC